UCGCUGCGACGUGCCCCUCCCUGGGUAUCUCUGACCAAACGGAAGGGCUGUGUGGGCUGCCGCUGCGUUCAGGUUCGGGGUACCGUCGAAAGCUCGGCUCCCGUCGAAAGCUGGCUUCACAGUCCUUCAGUCCCGGAGACCAGAAGACUUCACCCCUCGAGCGUCUACAAUCUGCAGAUAGAGGUUCCACGGUGAUCUGGGAGGGGCAGAUCAGCCCGAGAGACAAACUCACUCCCAAAACCACACCCAUGGCCUCCACCAGCCAGGAGAAUGUGAUGGAGGAGGAAGGGAGAGCCGUGAGUGGGGACAACAAUGAAGGACAUCUCAACUCAGACCCCUGCUGUCAGUCCAGUAAGGACUAAGAGAAAUUACUGCCUUUCUGCUUCAACUGGAAAUACCAUGAUCCUUUGCACACAUCCGACCUCUCCGACCUCUCCAUACAGAUCUGAUCUAAGUCCAGAUAGGGACUCAUAUUAAAAGUGUCAAAUUCAAAUGUUUUCUCAGAUUUUUGUAAAAGGUCUCUAAUAAAUACAGUAUUUCUGAUCCAUUUUCCA
This is a long non-coding RNA of Oncorhynchus masou masou (cherry salmon), 554 nucleotides long. RefSeq lists it as uncharacterized. NCBI's taxonomy places the organism in Eukaryota, Metazoa, Chordata, Actinopteri, Salmoniformes, Salmonidae. The record is from RefSeq and is a predicted model, not a curated record. The transcript has 2 exons.